CCGCUCUUUAGAGCCAAGUUGUGUGACACCUGAGAAAAUUCCCUUCACCUUCUUUUUGGACCCAAAGUGGUGCGGCCGUGUGGGAACAUCUGCCUCGUGGCCGUGGAUCAAAUGUUAGCCAAUUUUUUAAAAAAAUCAAUCUAGCCCUCAGGCUAUCCCCAGGAAUGGCUGCAGGUUCACAGGUUCUGAAGGUUGUUUCCGACAAGAUGCUCCACCUACAGUUUCUGCAGAAAACCAAGGUUAGCCUCACCCAGGAACUGGGAGUCCAGGGUAUAUUUUGGCAACCGCUUUCGAGAUCUGGGUGCGUGUGUUCAGCAUUUGGGCCAUUUGAUUUCUCACAAAAUGAAACACGCGGAGUGUGGCUUCUCCUGCUUAGUUACGGACUGCCUCCAUACUUCGAACACCUUGACCACCUGUCCAGCAUUUCCCCAUCUCUUCACAGCUGCUGGGAUUUGGUGCAUUGUACCCGUUCGGCUGAAAACAGCGUGGGCUAAGUGGCAGAUGAGAAGACAGAUACAAGGAGGAGAGGAGAAAGCUGUGUGAAGACAGAGGCAGAGACUGGAGUGACGCAGCCACAAGUCAGGGAACACCUGAAGCCACCAGAAGCUGGAAGAGGCAAGGAAAGAUUCUCCCCUAGAGGCUUUGGCCCCGCCUGACACCUUGAUAUUGGACUUGUGGCCUGGAGAACAGAAUAAAUUUAGGUUGUCUUAAGCCACCAAGUUUGAGGUCAUUCGUUACAGCAGCCAUCAGAAAGUAACCCACCACUAUCUCUUCUCAUUGAGAAGAUACGUUCACUAGAGUCCAUGCCCUGCUUAGAACACCAUGACAUUACACUCUUG
This 839-nucleotide long non-coding RNA is filed under the name Equus caballus (horse). Its description in RNAcentral is "lncRNA (ENSECAG00000057147.1)". Lineage: Eukaryota; Metazoa; Chordata; Mammalia; Perissodactyla; Equidae. The record is from RNAcentral.